Molecule: non-coding RNA, 306 nt
Organism: Vicia faba (fava bean)
Lineage: Eukaryota; Viridiplantae; Streptophyta; Magnoliopsida; Fabales; Fabaceae
Source: the annotation of a GenBank genome assembly
AUGAUUGAACUUCCUCUGAAAGAAAAAUCUCUUCUCCCUCAAUCUCUCAUCCGCCGCUCACUUCUUCACUUUGAAACUACCUCACCGCCACAGCUUCUUCCUCAUCAUCUACCUCAUUCCGUUGUAAACACGACAUCGCCACCAUCUCCCUCAUGGUUUCGAAUCCAUCUCGCUUUCGUUCUUCAUCUCAAAUCCGCAGUCGCCUUCUUCAAAGUUACGUCUCAUUUAAGUUUCGUCUCCUUCUUCAAAGUUACGUCUCAUUUAAGUUUCGUCUCCUUCGUAUAUCACGCCUCUGUCUCACUUUGA